CACUGCCGCUGCGCACAUCGCAGGCAGGUGACAGAUUGACUUCAGGUCGGAUGUAAACGGCCGUACAAUAAACCUGCUCCUUUGCUCUACCGGAAUACAUCGCUGUUUGAGGAUUGUUCAUAGAAAGUGAGCAAAAAUCCAGGAUGGUGAUAAAAUGAUGACUGGACGGAGAGAGCAGUCUGUUGAAGGGAUCGUCCUCCAACGCCAGACGGUGAAAUAACAUAAACUUCCACACAACAACCGGAAAUGGCGAGUGAUCGGGUGGCCAUCCUUACGGAUGAUGAGGAGGACCAGAAAAGGAAAUAUGUUCUGUCUGAACCAUUUAACACUCUGUCCCUGGGGCAGGUGGCAAACACUACACCAUCCGGUCAAACAGCACCGCCUGCCCCCACUGACACACACCCUUCUCAGCCCUCUCAGAAUAUGGACUGCACAGAGAGGUGCUGUGUGCGAAUAGACAAUCAUCUCUUGAUUUCCAAGGUCUUCUACUUCUUCUUUUAUUCCGCAUAUGGCUCUUUACACCCCCUGCUUGCUGUGUACUACAAGCAGCUGGGAAUGACACCCAGCCAAAGUGGCCUGCUAGUUGGGAUCCGUUAUUUUAUAGAGUUCUGCAGUGCGCCUUUCUGGGGAGUAGUGGCGGACCGCUACAAGAAAGGGAAGGCGGUGUUGCUGUUUUCUGUACUCUGCUGGGUGGUCUUUAACUGCGGUAUCGGCUUUGUCAAGCCAGCAGCUAUGACCUGUGUCAGUAAGGACCCUACUGUUGCGACACCAAGCAAUUUUACAAACUAUACGCAAACUAGUAACCAUACCAGACAAAGAAGAUACUUGAUUGAGGAUGUGUACUCUGCUCCUCCGCUUUCUCAGCCAAUAUUAGCAGCAUAUGGACCUCGCACUAGAUACAUUCGAAGUGCAAAUGUGAAUACCACAAGCACUCCCUCUGGAAACUCCACAGAGAAUCCUGUCGGCAUUACUAUGCUGUCUAACUCGUCAACAGCUUCGCCCCGUACCUCGACAGUAACGUCAAAAUCUACCUCGACAAUUGAAACACAAGCUACCACUGCCAAACUCAAAGAGUAUUUCAUAGUCUUUAAUAAGGAACAAGUAGAUACGAUAUUUCUCUUGAUCCUCUUGGUCAUUAUCAUUGGUGAGUUCUUCAGCGCCCCGGCUGUGACCAUUGUGGACACCGUCACUCUUCAGUACUUGGGACAACACCGAGAUCGUUAUGGACUCCAGAGAAUGUGGGGAUCUCUGGGAUGGGGUAUCGCUAUGCUGUCAGUGGGCAUUUGGAUCGACCACACGCACAUCACUAUCUUCAUCCAGGGCUCGGGUUGUGACCUGCCCAUCUACAAGAACUACCAAAUUGCGUUCAUCGUUUUUGGAGUCCUGAUGACCUCAGCGCUGAUAGUGGCGACGCAGUUCCACUUUGACAACAGGGUUUAUCAGUCAGAUGAGGAAGAGGACAAGAAGGAGGAUGUGGAAAUACCUCAAGUCGUUCAGGAAGUCUCGUCUCCAGAGUCCAGCCCAGAUGAUGCACCCGUUUGCCCAGAAAGCAACCCGCAACCUUUUCCCUUCAAAGAUCUCUUCCGGACCAUUUGUGGCAUCCAGUAUGGUACGGUUCUCUUUGUGGCCUGGUUCAUGGGGUUUGGUUACGGUUUCGUUUUCACCUUCCUCUAUUGGCAUCUGGAGGACCUGAAGGGCACCACCACUCUCUUUGGCAUCUGCUCGGUGCUCAGUCACGUGUCUGAGCUGGCCGCUUAUUUCAUCAGCCACAAACUCAUUGAGCUUGUUGGACACAUCAGAGUCCUUUAUAUCGGACUGGCCUGUAACACCGCACGCUAUCUGUACAUCUCCUACCUAGAGAAUGCAUGGAUAGUUUUACCCAUGGAAGUACUUCAAGGUUUGACACAUGCAGCAGUGUGGGCGGCAUGCAUCUCGUAUUUGAGCGCUGCUGUUCCUCCAGCUCUGCGCACGUCGGCUCAGGGGAUCCUGCAGGGGCUGCACCUGGGGCUGGGGAGAGGCUGUGGAGCCAUGCUAGGAGGGGUUUUUGUGAACUACUUCGGUGCUGCAGAAACCUUCAGAGGCCUCGGAAUGGCCUCUCUGGUCACAUUACUCAUCUUCUCUCUGAUACAGUGGCUGUUUGGUCAGAACGAGGAUAAAAAGGGCUCGAUGUUGGCUGAGAACAUCCCAGUUCCCUCCAGUCCAGUGCCUAUCGCCACUAUUGACUUAGUCCAGAACCAAUCCGCAUCUCAGCCAAACCCCGAAUCAAAGACGCCUCCUAAGAAAACCAGGAAUCAGGAAGAGCAAGAAGAUACCAACAAGCCGGCCUGGGUGGUCUCUGCUUCCCCCUGGGUCACCAUCGCUUUCGCCCUCUAUCAGAUCAGAGAUAGGGUCGCUUUGUCAAAGAACGACCCCUGUGGUGAAAGUCAAGCCCCGCAGGAGACAAAUGAGCAAACCUCAGCGAUGCCACCUGCUGAUGAAUCCACAUCUUCGCAACCCGAUACAUUAAGUCCAGCAGAAUAUCUCUCCCAAGGACCUACUACCAGUGCAUUCAUUCCUCUAAACACACAUCCUGUCCGUCCUGUGGAAAAACCGUCUCCAUCCGCAGGGAGAAACGAACCAGUAGAGAACUCCGCACCAUUGCCAGGGCACUCCAAACAGCAGCCUCCGAAAGCACAACCACAAUCCAAGAUCAACUGAACCUCUUUGGGAUAUAGCCUUAUGAUUUAGAGACAUGUUACGGGGUGUGAAAGGUGACAGCUGACUUUGGACCAAAAAAAUAUUAUGUUGACCUACAGGUAUUCUACUUUAGCGAGGGAUUUGUUUUCCGAGGCGAUAAAAUCAAUAUGCUUUGCACUGCCACAGUUGAUGUCUUGCCUUAGUCACAAAGGGCCUGCGAGUCUCUGUACAGAAUGCUUGAAGGUCAGUGUCUAUGAGGAGAUCUGCACAUUACUGAGCGUUUAAUGCUUAUAAUCCAACAGCUGAGGUGCUUCAGUGUAAUAUACAUGGGACUUGACAUUGCAAUAGAGAAGCAUAGUUGCUUUGCACUCUGUAUGUUAUUUUGCUAAUCGUGCUUCCAUAUUUCUUGUGACCAAAUUUAAAUAUAAAAGCAUCUACUCUGUAUAUAAUAUGUAAAAGCCAUGCUCUGUUCUGUUAAAUAUACGCAGUUAUGCAUAAAACCAAGAGUAUAGUAGCUAUUACAAACCAUCAAAAGGUAUUGAUUUGCACUAUAUGGUGUCUGAAACCAUCUGCCUCGCGGCUUUGUGUAUAAGUGACCUCUGCUUAUGUUUACAUAUGAUGAAACAAUACAAUAUUCUGGUUGAGAAUUUAGCCAUUUGUCUUUUUUAAUUAAAUUAGAUGGCAAUAUAAAAGACUGUAAAAACUUAAAAUGUUUAUAAUAACAUACAUUCUUCAGAUAAAAGUUCAAUAAAAAGGAAAUAAUUGAAAUGGCAGCAUGUAGAUAUGUAAACCCGCAUGAGUUGAUGCACCAUCCACUCAGAUAUCGGCCCUCCAAGACUAGGAUUGGACAUCCCUGCACUAAAGGUCAUGGUGAUUGAAAGUAAUAAUAUAUAUAUAUAUAUAUAUAUAUCAGAUGGGAGGAAAAAAUAUUUUAGUGCUUUUGUGCUCCCAAAGAACCUUUGCAUUCUCCCAAAAACAAAGUUUCUGGGGGGGAAUACAAACAUUUUGCCAAUGAAAAAGGUUCUAGGGAGAACGCCAAAAUUGUGCGUAAAAGCAGAAGCUUUUUAAUCACAAUGUCCCUUGAGGUUUCCUAUAAUUUUAUCAUUUGUGAGCUCCAAAAACGACAAAAAAAGGACCAUAAACCUAGUCAUGUUGCCCUAUUUUCCAUGUCUUCUAAAGCCACAAGGGGCAGUGGAAUGAAAAAACUAAAUUAAAAGCGGUCAAACGCGUCAGUCUACCGCAUGUUUAUAUAGAAAAGCAAAGGAAAACCAGCGCAAAAGCUCAUUCUGCGAGAUCUGAAG
RNA transcript from Sinocyclocheilus rhinocerous, 3977 nucleotides. It is a transcript of the gene named major facilitator superfamily domain-containing protein 6-B-like, with no coding region annotated. Lineage: Eukaryota; Metazoa; Chordata; Actinopteri; Cypriniformes; Cyprinidae. The record is from RefSeq and is a predicted model, not a curated record. The transcript has 8 exons.